Molecule: ribosomal RNA, 651 nt
Filed under: uncultured beta proteobacterium
Lineage: Bacteria; Pseudomonadati; Pseudomonadota; Betaproteobacteria
Description: bacterial SSU rRNA
Rfam family: Bacterial small subunit ribosomal RNA
Source: RNAcentral
UAACGUGGGGAGGAGCUUGCUCCACCCUGACGACGAGUGGCGAACGGGUGAGUAAUACAUCGGAACGUGUCCGCUCGUGGGGGACAACCAGCCGAAAGGUUGGCUAAUACCGCAUGAGUUCUACGGAAGAAAGAGGGGGACCCGCAAGGGCCUCUCGCGAGCGGAGCGGCCGAUGACUGAUUAGCCAGUUGGUGAGGUAACGGCUCACCAAAGCAACGAUCAGUAGCUGGUCUGAGAGGACGACCAGCCACACUGGGACUGAGACACGGCCCAGACUCCUACGGGAGGCAGCAGUGGGGAAUUUUGGACAAUGGGCGCAAGCCUGAUCCAGCUAUUCCGCGUGUGGGAUGAAGGCCCUCGGGUUGUAAACCACUUUUGUAGAGAACGAAAAGACACCAUCGAAUAAAUGGUGUUGCUGACGGUACUCUAAGAAUAAGCACCGGCUAACUACGUGCCAGCAGCCGCGGUAAUACGUAGGGUGCGAGCGUUAAUCGGAAUUACUGGGCGUAAAGGGUGCGCAGGCGGUUGAGUAAGACAGAUGUGAAAUCCCCGAGCUUAACUCGGGAAUGGCAUAUGUGACUGCUCGACUAGAGUGUGUCAGAGGGAGGUGGAAUUCCACGUGUAGCAGUGAAAUGCGUAGAUAUGUGGAAG